GAUCAUGGCUCAGGAUUAACGCUGGCGGCAUGCCUAAUACAUGCAAGUCGAAUGGUUAGCUUGCUAACCAUGGCGAACGGGUGAGUAACACGUAGGUAACCUGUCUCAAGACGAGGAUAACCAUUGGAAACGAUGGAUAAUACUGGAUAGGACAAAUCCCCGCAUGAGGAGAUGUUUAAAGGAGCAAUCCACUUGAUGAGGGGCCUGCGGUGCAUUAGCUAGUUGGUGAGGUAAAGGCCCACCAAGGCGAUGAUGCAUAGCCGGACUGAGAGGUUGAACGGCCACAAUGGAACUGAGAACGGUCCAUACUCCUACGGGAGGCAGCAGUAGGGAAUUUUCGGCAAUGGGCGGAAGCCUGACCGAAGCAAUGCCGCGUGAACGAUGAAGUAUUUCGGUAUGUAAAGUUCUUUUAUUUGGGAAGAAAAAACAAAUUGACGGUACCAAAUGAAUAAGCUCCGGCUAACUACGUGCCAGCAGCAGC
RNAcentral lists this ribosomal RNA (481 nucleotides) under uncultured bacterium. RNAcentral's name for it is "bacterial SSU rRNA". It matches the Rfam family "Bacterial small subunit ribosomal RNA", at positions 15 to 518 of the family's 1533-position model. The record is from RNAcentral.